RNAcentral lists this ribosomal RNA (635 nucleotides) under Lactococcus cremoris. RNAcentral describes it as "bacterial SSU rRNA". It matches the Rfam family "Bacterial small subunit ribosomal RNA", at positions 27 to 645 of the family's 1533-position model. Lineage: Bacteria; Bacillati; Bacillota; Bacilli; Lactobacillales; Streptococcaceae. The record is from RNAcentral.
GGACGAACGCUGGCGGCGUGCCUAAUACAUGCAAGUUGAGCGAUGAAGAUUGGUGCUUGCACCAAUUUGAAGAGCAGCGAACGGGUGAGUAACGCGUGGGGAAUCUGCCUUUGAGCGGGGGACAACAUUUGGAAACGAAUGCUAAUACCGCAUAACAACUUUAAACAUAAGUUUUAAGUUUGAAAGAUGCAAUUGCAUCACUCAAAGAUGAUCCCGCGUUGUAUUAGCUAGUUGGUGAGGUAAAGGCUCACCAAGGCGAUGAUACAUAGCCGACCUGAGAGGGUGAUCGGCCACAUUGGGACUGAGACACGGCCCAAACUCCUACGGGAGGCAGCAGUAGGGAAUCUUCGGCAAUGGACGAAAGUCUGACCGAGCAACGCCGCGUGAGUGAAGAAGGUUUUCGGAUCGUAAAACUCUGUUGGUAGAGAAGAACGUUGGUGAGAGUGGAAAGCUCAUCAAGUGACGGUAACUACCCAGAAAGGGACGGCUAACUACGUGCCAGCAGCCGCGGUAAUACGUAGGUCCCGAGCGUUGUCCGGAUUUAUUGGGCGUAAAGCGAGCGCAGGUGGUUUAUUAAGUCUGGUGUAAAAGGCAGUGGCUCAACCAUUGUAUGCAUUGGAAACUGGUAGACUGAG